Molecule: long non-coding RNA, 386 nt
Organism: Telopea speciosissima
Lineage: Eukaryota; Viridiplantae; Streptophyta; Magnoliopsida; Proteales; Proteaceae
Exons: 2
Source: RefSeq, a predicted model, not a curated record
AAACUGCAAGCAGCCAAUGUGCCAUGGGAAGCUGAUGAGCAUCCUUGUUAAACAUUGGAACUAAAAAGUAAAACGGAAAGAUGUAAACAAUGAUAGAAAAUGUUCAAACUCAAACUUGGAAAGCUUGAUGCCAUCAUAUUGGAGUAGUUUUAUGUCUUUCUCUCUCUCACCAAAGAAUGUUUGUCUGCCCAGCUCUGCCUAUAAUUUCUGGUAGAACUACUUGUUUCCAAGCAGUUUUGUAACCUCCAGAUUGGUGACAAUUUUUAGUUGAAGUCAUCUUCCACAGUUCAGAGAAUUGUUUAGUUGAAGUAGGUAAGAGAUUAGUUUUGUAUGCAUUAUACUGUGGAUUAUUUUUAUAUAGUAGAUUAGGGAAUUGUUGGGGGGAU